This is a long non-coding RNA of Dermacentor andersoni, 1721 nucleotides long. RefSeq lists it as uncharacterized. The record is from RefSeq and is a predicted model, not a curated record. NCBI's taxonomy places the organism in Eukaryota, Metazoa, Arthropoda, Arachnida, Ixodida, Ixodidae.
AUGUAUAUCAGAUCCCUGCGAGUAUUUUCAAAAUUCAAUUAUUUUAGACAACAGGCACAUAUGCAAUACUGACAUAAUCUCAAAUACCACUAAGCAGCUGGGACACAUUUUUGUCGACCAUACUCUCAGGUAAAAUAAGUAGAUCAUGUGGACAGCUCCAGCUCAUUUUCCUUAAAUCAGUGUGUACAAGGGGUAUGCAAAAAUAAUUUUUUUCUCGCACACCGAUUAUUUUGCUAUAUAAGCAAGAUAACCUUCCACAUUAGUGUAAUGUAUCAUGUACAUCACACUAUAAUGUGCUCUAAUUUACCAAGUGAGAUUACUUACUUGUAUGGCUCAUUCAGCCAUAUCACACUGCAAGCUGCAUUCAUCAAUCUUCAAUUGGAUUUUGCAAAUGCUUUAUGAAACACGUUUCCCUUUUACGCAGAUAUGCAAUGGCAAGCCCUUCUGUGUGUUCCAAAGGUAAAAUUUAAGCUCUAAAUUAAAGAAGACAUUUCUAGUCAGAAACAAGCAAAAAUGGCGAAUGCAGAGUAUCGAAGCCCAAGGUACAGAAAUUAUGAGAAGUGUCGAGUAAUUUUAAGGAAAUAGUCGUAUUUGAAAAUGCGAGACUCUUUAGUGGAGGUCAAGCAAGUCAAUAUAGGUAGAAUACUCUGCAAAAUUUUGCGAGUGAGGGGAUGUCAAACAAUGGGUCAGGAAAUGCGUUGUUUUUCUGCAAAACAAAAGCUGAUUGCCAUUACAUAAGUCACUUCAGCAUCAUGAGACUGCUGCUUGAUCAAUUCAGAAAUAAACCAAAACACAAGACAUGCAAAAAUAAAGAAACAAUAUAAUGAUGCUCUCUCCACAUUGGGAUAAAUAAAAACAAACACAUCACAUCUAAUGUACACAUAUCAGACAGCUUGUGAAACACUAAAGGAAAAAGUUCAGUUUCGAGCUAUGGCGCUUGCCGCAUAGAUGUCGAGGGGCCUAGCACUAAUAGUGAUAGUUACCACUGCAUUUAGAAAUAGAACGCAUUCAUGCAGACAAGGAUGAUUCUUUAUAUUUUUGGCUACCACUUCAAGUGCCUCCACCAAGUGUUACAAUGCUGCACGCAGCCAUACUAAGGAUCUCGCAGCAACACCUGGAGGUAAAAAGCAGAAGCAGUCAAAGUGCUGGUGUGUACUGGACACUAUGUUUGAAAACAUUAGGCAAGAAGAGUGCAAGAAGCAGACAUAACAACUGCAUUUAUUUCCAUAAUUCCCCAUUUGAAUGGCCUUUUCUUUUUGCUUAGACAAUGCCUACACCUAGCUACAGCAGCUCCCUCAUACAGACUCCACAAGCCAAGAGGCCGUGGAGGCAAAUGCAGGCAGCCAGCACACCCCGAACAGCCACCUUGACUGCGGGCGUGUCACCCUAGUCGCCAAGGAAACAUUUGAGGGAAAGCGACAGGCAAUGUGAACAGCCACUUCUCCAUGUAAACAAUACUCUUUCUCUCGGAUGACUCCUACGCCUCGCCACGCCAGCACACUUGUGGACAAAGAUGCUGCGGAGGCACGUGCAGCUCAGAGGCAAGAAGCAGUGGCACUGGUGUCGACAUUCACCCACUUUCAUUUUCUUACACUGAGGCAGCCAGCACACCUCGAACAGCCACCUUGAAUGCGGGUGUGUCAGUAGAUUCCUGUUGUACAUAUGCUCAUAAUAAACAUCAGUAAACUUGAACUUGAUAAUAAACUUGAAGGCAAAUGGGA